AACAAAGAAGUAAAAUUUUACAUUUAGUUUCGACCUAAAAUUAAGGGUUAAAUACCUCAUGUUU
RNAcentral lists this transfer RNA (64 nucleotides) under Nephotettix malayanus. RNAcentral describes it as "tRNA-Arg". The record is from RNAcentral. Lineage: Eukaryota; Metazoa; Arthropoda; Insecta; Hemiptera; Cicadellidae.